Molecule: ribosomal RNA, 542 nt
Filed under: uncultured bacterium
Lineage: Bacteria
Description: bacterial SSU rRNA
Rfam family: Bacterial small subunit ribosomal RNA
Source: RNAcentral
AGUCGACGCCCCGCAGGGGAGUGGCAGACGGGUGAGUAACGCGUGGGAAUCUACCCAACCCUGCGGAAUAGCUCUGGGAAACUGGAAUUAAUACCGCAUACGCCCUACGGGGGAAAGAUUUAUCGGGGAUGGAUGAGCCCGCGUUGGAUUAGCUAGUUGGUGGGGUAAAGGCCUACCAAGGCGACGAUCCAUAGCUGGUCUGAGAGGAUGAUCAGCCACAUUGGGACUGAGACACGGCCCAAACUCCUACGGGAGGCAGCAGUGGGGAAUAUUGGACAAUGGGCGCAAGCCUGAUCCAGCCAUGCCGCGUGAGUGAUGAAGGCCUUAGGGUUGUAAAGCUCUUUCACCGGUGAAGAUAAUGACGGUAACCGGAGAAGAAGCCCCGGCUAACUUCGUGCCAGCAGCCGCGGUAAUACGAAGGGGGCUAGCGUUGUUCGGAAUUACUGGGCGUAAAGCGCACGUAGGCGGAUAUUUAAGUCAGGGGUGAAAUCCCAGAGCUCAACUCUGGAACUGCCUUUGAUACUGGGUAUCUUGAGUAUGGA